GCCAGCAGCCAUAUCACUCUGCACCUCACAACUGUCAGCCCACCGAAGCUCAGAAGGUGUGAGCCUGGUCAGUACCUGGAUAGGAGACCUCCUGGGAAAAGCUAAGGUUGCUGCUGGAA
Molecule: ribosomal RNA, 119 nt
Filed under: Lepisosteus oculatus (spotted gar)
Lineage: Eukaryota; Metazoa; Chordata; Actinopteri; Semionotiformes; Lepisosteidae
Source: RNAcentral